CCUACGGGUGGCAGCAGUGGGGAAUAUUGGGCAAUGGAGGAAACUCUGACCCAGCAACGCCGCGUGAAUGAUGAAGGUCUUCGGAUUGUAAAGUUCUUUUCUAAGGGAAGAAGAAAGUGACGGUACCUUAGGAAUAAGCCUCGGCUAACUACGUGCCAGCAGCCGCGGUAAUACGUAGGAGGCGAGCGUUCUCCGGAGUUACUGGGUGUAAAGGGAGCGUAGACGGCAGCACAAGUCUGUAGUGAAAUCCCGGGGCUUAACCCCGGAACUGCUUUGGAUACUGUGCGGCUGGAGUGCAGGAGGGGUAAGCGGAAUGCCUAGUGUAGCGGUGAAAUGCGUAGAUAUUAGGAGGAACACCGGUGGCGAAGGCGGCUUACUGGACUGUAACUGACGUUGAGGCUCGAAAGCGUGGGGAGCAAACAGGAUUAGAUACCCUGGUAGUC
This 443-nucleotide ribosomal RNA is filed under the name uncultured bacterium. RNAcentral's name for it is "partial 16S ribosomal RNA". It matches the Rfam family "Bacterial small subunit ribosomal RNA", at positions 338 to 795 of the family's 1533-position model. The record is from RNAcentral.